RNAcentral lists this long non-coding RNA (469 nucleotides) under Zonotrichia albicollis (white-throated sparrow). RNAcentral describes it as "lncRNA (ENSZALG00000000209.1)". The record is from RNAcentral. Lineage: Eukaryota; Metazoa; Chordata; Aves; Passeriformes; Passerellidae.
CCCUGGGGACAGGUGACAAUGGCAGGUGCCACCUCAGGUGUGCCCAGGUGCCACCAGGUGUGCCCAGGUGCCACCAGACCUGUCCAGGUGCCACCAGGUGUGCCCAGGUGCCACCAGGUGUGUCCAGGUACCACCAAACCUGUCCAGGUGCCACCAGGUGUGCCCAGGUGCCACCAAACCUGUCCAGGUGCCACCAGGUGUGUGCCCAAGUGCCACCUCAGGUGUGUCCAGGUGCCACCAAACCUGUCCAGGUGCCACCUCAGGUGUGUCCAGGUGCCACCAGGUGUGCCCAGGUGCCACCAGGUGAGUUCCCAGCUGUUCCCAGGUGCCACCAGGUGUGUCCAGGUGUGCCCAGCUGUUCUCAGCUGUGCCCAGGUGUCCCCAGGUGUGUCCAGGUGCCACCAGGUGUGUCCAGCUCUCCCCACAUAUGUCUCCAGGUGCCACCAGGUGAGUUCCCAGCUGUCUCCAG